This 494-nucleotide ribosomal RNA is filed under the name uncultured bacterium. Its description in RNAcentral is "partial 16S ribosomal RNA". It matches the Rfam family "Bacterial small subunit ribosomal RNA", at positions 28 to 507 of the family's 1533-position model. The record is from RNAcentral.
GACGAACGCUGGCGGCGUGCUUAACACAUGCAAGUCGAACGGUGAAGCGCCUUCCUUUUUGGUGGGUGUGGAUGAGUGGCGAACGGGUGAGUAACACGUGAGUAACCUGCCCCCUUCUUCUGGAUAACCGCAUGAAAGUGUGGCUAAUACGGGAUAUUCUGGGUCUGUCGCAUGAUGGGUCUGUGAAAGAUAUUGUUUCGGUGGGGGAUGGGCUCGCGGCCUAUCAGCUUGUUGGUGGGGUGAUGGCCUACCAAGGCGGUGACGGGUAGCCGGCCUGAGAGGGUGGACGGUCACACUGGGACUGAGACACGGCCCAGACUACUACGGGAGGCAGCAGUGGGGAAUAUUGCACAAUGGGCGCAAGCCUGAUGCAGCGACGCCGCGUGAGGGAUGGAGGCCUUCGGGUUGUGAACCUCUUUCGCCAGUGAAGCAGGCCUGCCUCGUUUGUGGGUGGGUUGACGGUAGCUGGAUAAGAAGCGCCGGCUAACUACGUG